Molecule: transfer RNA, 73 nt
Filed under: Felis catus (domestic cat)
Lineage: Eukaryota; Metazoa; Chordata; Mammalia; Carnivora; Felidae
Rfam family: tRNA
About the family: Transfer RNA (tRNA) molecules are approximately 80 nucleotides in length.
Source: Rfam by way of RNAcentral
GUCUGACUGGCUCAGUUGGUAAAGAAUGAGACUCCUGACCUUGGGGUCAUGAGUUUGAGCCUUAUGUUGGACA